CCUACGGGAGGCAGCAGUGGGGGAUAUUGCACAAUGGGGGGAACCCUGAUGCAGCGACGCCGCGUGUGGGAAGACGGUCCUCUGGAUUGUAAACCACUGUCCCCAGGGACGAAAAUGACGGUACCUGGGGAGGAAGCUCCGGCUAACUACGUGCCAGCAGCCGCGGUAAUACGUAGGGAGCGAGCGUUGUCCGGAUUUACUGGGUGUAAAGGGAGCGUAGGCGGGGAUGCAAGUUGGGUGUAAAAACUACCGGCUCAACUGGUAGUCGCACUCAAAACUGCAGCUCUUGAGUGAAGUAGAGGCAGGCGGAAUGCGUGGUGUAGCGGUGAAAUGCGUAGAUAUUAGGAGGAACACCAGUGGCGAAGGCGGCCUGCUGGGCUUUUACUGACGCUGAGGCUCGAAAGUGUGGGGAGCAAACAGGAUUAGAUACCCCGGUAGUC
RNAcentral lists this ribosomal RNA (440 nucleotides) under uncultured bacterium. Its description in RNAcentral is "partial 16S ribosomal RNA". It matches the Rfam family "Bacterial small subunit ribosomal RNA", at positions 338 to 795 of the family's 1533-position model. The record is from RNAcentral.